UACGACGUAUCAGAGUUUGAUCCUGGCUCAGGAUGAACGCUGGCGGCGUGCUUAACACAUGCAAGUCGAACGGACUUUUUAAGAUUGCUUGCAAUUUUAAAAAGUUAGUGGCGGACGGGUGAGUAACGCGUGGGUAACCUGCCUCAUACAGGGGGAUAACAGUCAGAAAUGACUGCUAAUACCGCAUAAGCGCACAGUAUCGCAUGAUACAGUGUGAAAAACUCCGGUGGUAUGAGAUGGACCCGCGUUGGAUUAGCUAGUUGGUGGGGUAGAGGCCUACCAAGGCGACGAUCCAUAGCCGGCCUGAGAGGGUGACCGGCCACAUUGGGACUGAGACACGGCCCAG
Molecule: ribosomal RNA, 346 nt
Filed under: uncultured bacterium
Lineage: Bacteria
Description: bacterial SSU rRNA
Rfam family: Bacterial small subunit ribosomal RNA
Source: RNAcentral